RNAcentral lists this ribosomal RNA (461 nucleotides) under uncultured bacterium. RNAcentral describes it as "bacterial LSU rRNA". It matches the Rfam family "Bacterial large subunit ribosomal RNA", at positions 178 to 698 of the family's 2925-position model. The record is from RNAcentral.
AGCGAACCUAGGGAACUGAAACAUCUAAGUACCUAGAGGAAAAGAUAUUCCGUUAGUAGUGGCGAGCGAAAGCGGAUCAGGCCAGUGCUACUUUUUACUAAACCAGAACUGCAUGGAAAGGCAGGCCAUAGUGAGUGAUAGCCUCGUAUGGGUAGAUAGUAAAAAAUAGACAUGAGUAGGGCGGGACACGUGAAAUCCUGUCUGAAUAUAGGAAGACCACUUCCUAAGCCUAAAUACUACUUUGUGACCGAUAGUGAACCAGUACCGUGAGGGAAAGGCGAAAAGAACCCCUAGCAGGGGAGUGAAAUAGACCCUGAAACCGGAUGCUUACAAGCAGUUGGAGCCUCUUUAUGAGGUGACAGCGUACCUUUUGUAUAAUGGGUCAGCGACUUAAUAUCAAUAGCAAGCUUAAGGCAUAUAGCUGUAGGCGAAGCGAAAGCGAGUCUGAAUAGGGCGAUUUA